Molecule: long non-coding RNA, 647 nt
Filed under: Homo sapiens (human)
Lineage: Eukaryota; Metazoa; Chordata; Mammalia; Primates; Hominidae
Description: HSALNT0160378
Source: RNAcentral
GCUCGCGAGUAGCUGGGACUACAGGCUCCAGCCACCACGCCUGGCUAAUUUUUUGUAUUUUUAGUAGAGACGGGGUUUCACCGUGUUAGCCAGGAUGGUCUCUAUCUCCUGACCUCAUGAUCCACCCGCCUCGGCCUCCUAAAGUGCUGGGAUUACAGGCGUGAGCCACGGCGCCCCGCCUGCUUUUCUCCUUUCUGGCUACAUUGUGAAUGUGAGAGCUGGAGCGUGAAUACGCACCUUAGACUAUGAGUGGAAACCAUGUGCUAAGGAUGAUAGAGCCAAAGAUAAGAGCCCGGUUUCCUGGCAUCGUGGGACGGCGCGUCACCUCUAGAGAGACUACUACCUCCCUAGAGAGAUUUUUAACGAUGCUGUGACUACAACCCUCUGUUUAGUUAGUGGAAUUGAGAACAAGGCCCAGGUGGAUGAUUGAGGACUAAACCCCAAACUUGCCUUGGAUCACUCCACUGUUUCAGGACAUCAAGGGCUCCAGACAUUGAGAAAUUUUCCCUUUAAGUUGCGAUGGGAAUCCAGAAAACGCCAUAUGGACCCCUCUAUGCUGUGAAAUACUUCAGUACUCAGGAGAAGUCACGUUCUGGUUGCUGCAAGCGUGUGAUACCCUGUCAUUAAAAUAAGAAAUAGAUUGUUAU